Molecule: ribosomal RNA, 252 nt
Filed under: uncultured bacterium
Lineage: Bacteria
Description: partial 16S ribosomal RNA
Rfam family: Bacterial small subunit ribosomal RNA
Source: RNAcentral
UACAGAGGGGGCAAGCGUUGUUCGGAAUUACUGGGCGUAAAGGGCGCGUAGGCGGCCCGCUAAGUCGAACGUGAAAUCCCCGAGCUCAACUCGGGAACUGCGUCCAUACUGGCGGGCUUGAAUCCGGGAGAGGGAUGCGGAAUUCCAGGUGUAGCGGUGAAAUGCGUAGAUAUCUGGAGGAACACCGGUGGCGAAGGCGGCAUCCUGGACCGGCAUUGACGCUGAGGCGCGAAAGCCAGGGGAGCAAACGGG